This is a long non-coding RNA of Thamnophis sirtalis, 874 nucleotides long. RefSeq lists it as uncharacterized. The record is from RefSeq and is a predicted model, not a curated record. NCBI's taxonomy places the organism in Eukaryota, Metazoa, Chordata, Lepidosauria, Squamata, Natricidae.
ACACCAAGGAAUGCUGCUGAGCAAGAUAUUUUAGAUGCUAUUGUAUCAAAUCUGACUUCUGGCAGUGAUAGAAAAAUGCCCACCAUCUCAACCUGUCCCUGGCAAUAAUCUUUCAAGGACAGUCAGUGAAGCAAAGCAAGAACUUGAUGCUUGAGAUGCGGCAUGGAAAGCUUCGUUACCCAGAACAUAUUUUGUCAUUCAGCUUCUCCUAAAUUCUAAUUCUCUGUAUUCCCUUCUCUUGAACAUCCUCUGUGUCCUACCACCAUUUGUCCCUGGAUAUCUAUGGAGAUUCUCAGAAUUAUUCUUCAGGAUCCCCUGAAUCCUCCAGAGCAGAUUUGGAGUGCGGUGCGAAGCGAAGAGAGUCAGAAGCCAGCCAAUAUGAGAGACAGGCAGAAGUGCUCUAUCAGCAGACAGUCAUGUGUCUAUAUGAUUUGCUGGCAAAGGUAGGAUUUGACAAGUGGGACAACUUAUAAAUAUAAAAUUAAAUACAUUUUUGUGAUUGUUUAUUAAUAUGUCUAUUUAUCAGGAGGCCAGGAAAGUAAUGCAGUGCACCCAUUAGUUCUCGAAACCGGAUGAAUUAUCUUGUGAAAUCAGAGUUCAGAAGCAUAGAAUACCUGGUUGAAUAAAUCCAUGGAACUGUAAAGAAACAUCACACAGGAAUCAAACUAACCUUGAUGCUAAUUCACUAGCACAUGGCUUGAGAUAGCCUGUCACCACUUAAUGAAUCAAACACAAAGCAACUUGGAUUUUGUCCAAGAGUAAAGCAAUGUGUUAUUGAAAACGCCUUUCCAAAGGUGACUGAUAAAUGGACACUGUUAUUGUUAAUUUCUCGGUUACUCUGAAAUACCUGUCAACAGCUCAAGGUUCCUUAUUU